GGAGCGGUAGCUCAAGUGGCAGAGCAACCCUGCGGGGUUGGUUACGGGUUCGAAUCCCGUCCGUUCAC
This 68-nucleotide transfer RNA is filed under the name Streptomyces sp. MnatMP-M17. It matches the Rfam family "tRNA". Rfam says of the family: Transfer RNA (tRNA) molecules are approximately 80 nucleotides in length. The record is from Rfam by way of RNAcentral. Lineage: Bacteria; Bacillati; Actinomycetota; Actinomycetes; Kitasatosporales; Streptomycetaceae.